This 21-nucleotide microRNA is filed under the name Zea mays. Its description in RNAcentral is "microRNA miR-3106". Lineage: Eukaryota; Viridiplantae; Streptophyta; Magnoliopsida; Poales; Poaceae. The record is from RNAcentral.
UGGUGGAAAAUUUCAGGUUAG